This 478-nucleotide ribosomal RNA is filed under the name uncultured bacterium. RNAcentral describes it as "partial 16S ribosomal RNA". It matches the Rfam family "Bacterial small subunit ribosomal RNA", at positions 28 to 523 of the family's 1533-position model. The record is from RNAcentral.
GACGAACGCUGGCGGCGUGCUUAACACAUGCAAGUCGAACGGUAAGGCCCUUCGGGGUACACGAGUGGCGAACGGGUGAGUAACACGUGGGUGAUCUGCCCUGCACUUCGGGAUAAGCCUGGGAAACUGGGUCUAAUACCGGAUAGGACCACUGCCUGCAUGGGUGGUGGUGGAAAGCUUUUGCGGUGUGGGAUGGGCCCGCGGCCUAUCAGCUUGUUGGUGGGGUGAUGGCCUACCAAGGCGACGACGGGUAGCCGGCCUGAGAGGGUGACCUGCCACACUGGGACUGGGAUACGGACCAGACUCCUACGGGAGGCAGCAGUGGGGAAUAUUGCACAAUGGGCGCAAGCCUGAUGCAGCGACGCCGCGUGAGGGAUGACGGCCUUCGGGUUGUAAACCUCUUUCAGCACCGACGAAGCGCAAGUGACGGUAGGUGCAGAAGAAGGACCGGCCAACUACGUGCCAGCCGCCGCCGUAA